GAAUAUGAGGGUGAUUUGGCUGCAACAUCUGUCAGCCCACUGAUAGCCAGAGUUUAUUUAUCCUAAUCUGGCUGACUAGGUGGCUGUCUAUUCUCCCUCACCGCUCCAUCUACAUGCAUCACUCACAAAGCUGCAUGCUCAGUAGAAGAUGACAACCUUUUUAGAAAAAGUGGGACCUUUCUAGGGCCAAGAAUAUCAAAGUGGCAGGAGCUAGAGAUUGCUCAGUGGAACCUGAUCUCAAUCCCUAGCACUCCCAUAAAAAUGCCAAGCAUGGUGGCGUGUACCUAU
RNAcentral lists this small nuclear RNA (288 nucleotides) under Jaculus jaculus (lesser Egyptian jerboa). RNAcentral's name for it is "7SK RNA (ENSJJAG00000009279.1)". It matches the Rfam family "7SK RNA". From Rfam's summary of the family: 7SK was discovered as an abundant small nuclear RNA in the mid-70s but a possible function has only recently been suggested. Two independent studies have found that 7SK RNA binds the CDK9/cyclin T complex (known as elongation factor P-TEFb). The record is from Rfam by way of RNAcentral. Lineage: Eukaryota; Metazoa; Chordata; Mammalia; Rodentia; Dipodidae.